CUGGAGGAUGAUUAGAUGUAUUAUUGCUGGUCAUAACUACAAAAUGCAAAACAAAAUACCAUGCUAUGAACCGACUAAUCUAUAAAAAUAAUGAAUAAUGAAGGCACAGCAAUUAGGCACAGAUCAUAUAUUAUACAUGGAUUUUCCCUAAAUGAUACGGGGCUGCAAGCCAGCAAUUGCAAUUCAUAUCUCAACGAAUUUUCUCAAUCACACGGAGUUUGGCACUCCUAGACCUGCGAUUUAGUCUUUCCUCCUCUUCAGAUGGUGUUAUUGGUCUCU
RNAcentral lists this long non-coding RNA (279 nucleotides) under Populus tremula. RNAcentral describes it as "long non-coding RNA (PTRE_LNC002327)". The record is from RNAcentral. Lineage: Eukaryota; Viridiplantae; Streptophyta; Magnoliopsida; Malpighiales; Salicaceae.